This 468-nucleotide ribosomal RNA is filed under the name uncultured bacterium. Its description in RNAcentral is "partial 16S ribosomal RNA". It matches the Rfam family "Bacterial small subunit ribosomal RNA", at positions 28 to 507 of the family's 1533-position model. The record is from RNAcentral.
GACGAACGCUGGCGGCGUGCUUAACACAUGCAAGUCGAACGGAAAGGCCCUGCUUUUGUGGGGUGCUCGAGUGGCGAACGGGUGAGUAACACGUGAGUAACCUGCCCUUGACUUUGGGAUAACUUCAGGAAACUGGGGCUAAUACCGGAUAGGAGCUCCUGCUGCAUGGUGGGGGUUGGAAAGUUUCGGCGGUUGGGGAUUGACUCGCGGCUUAUCAGCUUGUUGGUGGGGUAGUGGCUUACCAAGGCUUUGACGGGUAGCCGGCCUGAGAGGGUGACCGGCCACAUUGGGACUGAGAUACGGCCCAGACUCCUACGGGAGGCAGCAAGGGGGAAUAUUGCACAAUGGGCGGAAGCCUGAUGCAGCAACGCCGCGUGCGGGAUGACGGCCUUCGGGUGGUAAACCGCUUUCGCCUGUGACGAAGCGUGAGUGACGGUAAUGGGUAAAGAAGCACCGGCUAACUACGUG